UUGCAUGCCUGUUGCUGCUGUGCACAAAACCGCUCAUGCGAGUAGACCGCUCGCUAAGUGCCUUUCUCUCUUUCUGUGCUUGUGUGUCCACAUCUGUGCGUACGCAGAAACGGGGCGCUUCACCAUUGCCGUGAAUCGACCGCGUCCACCGCGCAUAGCCGACGAGGACUGGAGGGGAGACAGGCAAGCAUCACCCCUCCUUCCCAUGCCAACAUGAGCGCCACAGUGCCUGCUGCGCACGCGCACGAGGGCACGGGCGGCUGCGCGCCAUGCCACGUAUCCACUUUGCACCCCUGCGAAGGGGAUGGAGGGGAGGAGGAGAAGGGGUAUAGUGCGUCGUCGGGCGCAGACGCCGCCGUCGAACCUUUGGACCCUCUUCGCUGCUUCAGCGCUUUCGAUGUACUGCGCGGUGCCCUUGCCACCUGCACGUGUGCGCCAGCCCUCUCUCGCUCGACAGAAAAAGGCGCUGGCUCCCCCUCGCUACUCCCAGGCGCCCCUCUGCCGUCAGCGUGGAGGACGGAGCAAACGCGGGAGGCGUUGGGGACAUUGGUUGACCUUGUCGCGGCCGACGUUGGCAUUUCGAGCGCACGGCACGGGCAAGACGAAGCACCAAAGGAUGUGGAGAGCGCCAGGUCUCGACUCAGUGUGGACGCACUGCUCUUGCACCUCACGGCGGAGGGGCCAAGUCUGCGGGCAGCCCUGCGCCGCCGUCGUCGUCAACUCCUACCGAUGCCUCCGCGCGAUGACGCGACAACCCACUCAGAGCCAGAGGCGUGUGAUGAGGCGCGCGCCGCUUGUGAAGAGGAUGAGGCCUUGACAGUUCUCAUUCGCUGCGCGGCCAGCGUUGCACUGGCCAACCGCAACCUAGGGAGCAAUGCACGGAAGGACAGGAAAGAGGUGCAGACGCCUGCUAGCCGUGUGCUACAGACGUGCACGGCUCUCUCUCUUCUCCGCACCAGCUCGCUUUUUCACCAGCCGCUGCGCGCAGGGACUGAACACACGGCAGCGUCUCGAUCCACCAUCGCAGCAGCUGAUGCGUCCGCGUACUGGUGCUCGACCGGCUGCAUGGGCCUUGAUCAGGCACUAGGUGGUGGGGGCUUCCGCAGUGGUUGGGUCACCGAGGUGUACGGCGAGGCUGGGGCAGGCAAGACGCAGCUGGGGCUUCAGUGCCUCCUGCAGCAGGCUGCUACAGAUGUUUGCCACGCGGCCGUAGCCCUGGCGCUAGCCAGCAACGCAGACCUCACGUCCCUUGCUCACAUGGCGACGGCAGCGGGAAUGUGCGGCUCCAGCAGCCCUGCUGUGAAGUGCAUGGAAGUGUUUGACCGCGAUGCUGUCGAGGCAGCGCGCUGUGCUGUGGUGUACCUGGUUUCCGAGGACGUGCCCACCUCCCGGCUGGGGUCGCUGGCCGCCGCAGCUGUAGGGCGGGCUGUUCGCGCUGUGCGGCUUCACCCACUCGUCAAUCAGCUGCCAUCUUGUGCUGUGAAGACAGUGUGGGGCUGCGUUGAGCGCACAUGCACUGUGCCGAUGGUUUUGUCCAGUCUGCAGAUUCGCCACGUUACAUCAGUGGCGGAGGUGCUGCGGCUGCUAGAGCCUCUGCCGCAUUCACGGCUUGCCCAGGCCUCAGGGAUUACCUCUCUCACCAACGCUAUCCCCAACAGGGCCCAGAGACCGCGCAGCAGCAGCUUGGUUGAGGCCGUGCGUGUCCUGGCCGGCUCUCACGGCCGUGCCUUGGUGGUGCUGGACUCCGUCGCGGCUGCAGUGGUGGCGGGGCAGUGGGACAUGCAAGGUGUGGCACAGGCCGACGCGACUGUGACGGCCCUCAGUUUGCGGCUCCGGCAAGCUGUCAUGACACACAACUGGUGCAUUGUCGUGACGAACCAGGUGCGCGCGAUCCCAACGACUGACCGUCAACGUCAGUGCGCGCUGGCACCGAUCAAACGUGCUCGCUCGCCCACGACUUUCUCUGCGGCAUCGGCAUCCUUUUCGGCUCGCACUGUCGUACCCGCACUUGGCUUCUCCUGGGCCUCCGCGCCACACUGUCGCGUGCUUUUGCGCAAGUCCCUUUCUCACGGUGUGCGCCAGCUUGUGCUGCACCACGCUCCCUCGCAUCCGCCUGCGCAGGCGAGCUACCUGAUUACAGAGCACGGCAUCGAAGACGCAUGAGGGAAGAAGCUGAGAGGCAGCGCGUGCGUGACACUGAGGGGUGCGGAAAGAGGCAGGAAAACAUUUUGCCCGCGCUUUACAUGAGUGCUCUCUCUCUCUCUCUGUCUCGCCGAACGCGAGGGCGUGUACGUGUGUCUGUGCUCUGCCCUCCUCUCCACCCUGCUAUGCGCUCCUCUUGCUUGCGAUCUUUUUCUGUCUUCGGUGACCUUACGGCUGCCAUGGCGCUCUUGCCACAUCAUCUUGCACCUUUUCUCCGCCACGGGCGCCUAGGCGUGCUUGGACGCACGUGUCUGGUUGGUGAUCAACGACGACG
Molecule: unclassified non-coding RNA, 2476 nt
Filed under: Leishmania donovani
Lineage: Eukaryota; Euglenozoa; Kinetoplastea; Trypanosomatida; Trypanosomatidae
Description: gene:LdHU3.29.0630(CDS-product:Rad51/recA_bacteri al_DNA_recombination_protein/KaiC_putative)
Source: RNAcentral